Stegodyphus dumicola is the source of this 394-nucleotide long non-coding RNA. RefSeq lists it as uncharacterized. The record is from RefSeq and is a predicted model, not a curated record. Lineage: Eukaryota; Metazoa; Arthropoda; Arachnida; Araneae; Eresidae.
AAGUUCACCAGUACUACAUACGCAUAUCUUCGAUCAUUUCUGCUCUACUCCGUAGAACUACUGUGACCGAGCCGAGAAAAUAACGGAAAACCAUUGCGAUGGAAGCUUACCUAGUGUACUUAAUGGUUCUCGUCGCAUUCCUGGCUGCAAUUUUAUCCGGGUCUGUAGCACAAGAUAGCCAGAUAAGGGAUGCUUCGUCAAGAGACAUUCUUGAUUCUGUUUUGGGGGAAGCUAAUAAUGUAGUAUAAAAUUCAAGAUUAGACUUCACUCCACAGUGAAAUCCAAAGACUACCUAACAUUCGCUAAGAAGUCCUAUUUAAUGAACGAUUGUGAAAUCAAUAUUCUUUGCAAAAUUUAUGUCUAGAUGCAAAUAAAACAAUUAUUAAAUUAAGUA